RNAcentral lists this long non-coding RNA (1597 nucleotides) under Populus trichocarpa (black cottonwood). RNAcentral describes it as "long non-coding RNA (PTRI_LNC003184)". The record is from RNAcentral. Lineage: Eukaryota; Viridiplantae; Streptophyta; Magnoliopsida; Malpighiales; Salicaceae.
AAUUUAUACAGUACAUCGGCCUAAACUCAUACAAAUAGAAUUCUUAAAUGUUAAGAAACAAAAUAUAAUAUAAAGUAAUAGAAGAAAGGUUGUCUAACCAUUCUGGCAAUGCUUCCUCAAAUUCCUCUCCCUCGAAAUAAAGUAUACACAAUUCCUCGAGGGCAGUGAGGUGUUGAAGUUGAUGCGGAAAAUUCCUCGAGGGCAGCCUAAAAUUCCACAUAUCUCCAAUUGAGUUUAAAACUCCUGCAGGAAAAGCCUCCAUCUCCUCUGAGAAACCACCACCGAUGCUCAAAUACUCCAGUUGGGUGAGGCCGCCUAAGCAAUCAUCCUCUGGGAAAUCACUCAAACUGUAUAAAUGGUAGUGUCCUGCAAUGGUGGUUAUGUAUUGAAAUCAUGAAAAAGAAAAGGAAGAGAGAGAGAGAGAGAGAGAGAGAGAAGGGGAUUGCAUUGAUUAAUUGAUCAUUAAUUCUUUCAGCAUUUCAUAAUCAUGCUUUCUGUUACAAUUUGUUGCACAUAUAACAUCUUAGCAUUCUAGUAGAAAGAAAGAAAAUUCAGUCUACUUUCCACACACAAUGCGUAGUAAGUAAGUGAGGUGCAACGUUUUUAUUAUUAUUAUUAUGAUUGAUGGCUAAUUUUGAUAUUACUCUAAAUUCAUAUGUAUAUAAAGUAUUUAAUUUUAAGAUUUAGUGAUUUGUUUUAAGAAUCAUAAUUGUAUAUAAAGUUGAUGAUUUUAAAAUAAAUAAUACUGCAUAGACAAAUGCAAUAAAUAUGCAAGUUAAAUUAUUUUGUAAGAAUGAUAUUAGAAUAAUGCUGGAUGGCUAUUGAUAUUAUCAUUGAUAUGUGUAUAUUUUGAUACAUAGUAAAAUUAAGCUAAUUAAUAAUGGCAUGCGAUAGACAGUGUCCCUCCCAAUACAUUCCACAUAAAUAAGUAUAAAUUUGGUUAGCAUAAUAAUAAAAAGAUAAUAAGAUAUUAGUCUCUAAUAAUUGCUUUAAUUUGAUUAUGAUUGAUUUGGUUGCUUUUGAUAUUACUCUAAAGAAGAAUGCUGGGAUAUGAGAAAAUAAACCAUUUUUAAAAGAAUGAAGUCUAAUUAUUGCUUUCAUUAUUUUGAAUUCUUUAAUUGGUUCUCUCUCCUCUCUGCAUACUACAAAGUAACGGAAUCAUUUAAGCCCCAACUUACCUGUACACGUCUACCCUCUAUCUUAUAUAGAUUUUUGGGAUAUGAGAAAUCUUGGGCCACUCAGAGCCAUUCUCCUUUCUACAAUUUUCUGAUAGAUGUGGACAUCCCCCCCAAAUCCGCAAUUCCUUUAAUUUGGAGAGGCGUUGAAUGGCUGUUGAGCUUGGCAGAUACUUGAGAUUCUUGCAAUUCUCAAUCCAAAGAGAUUGAAGGGAAGAAAGGUUGGCCAACCAAUCUGGCAAUGCUUCCUCAAAUCCCUCUCCACUGAAACCCUUUAUAUACAAUCUCUCGAGGGCAGUGAGGUGUUGAAGUUGGUGUGGUACACUCUUCAGUUUAUCCCACCCAUGUAUCGCUAGGGAUUUGAGGGACCCACUCAAGUUGAGGUGUUGGAAUGAGUUUAAAAGUCCUGCAGGAAAAGCCUC